AUGAACGCUGGCGGCGUGCCUAAUACCUGCAAGUCGAGCGAACGGAUGAGGAGCUUGCUCCUCUGACGUUAGCGGCGGACGGGUGAGUAACACGUGGAUAACCUACCUAUAAGACUGGGAUAACUUCGGGAAACCGGAGCUAAUACCGGAUAAUAUAUUGAACCGCAUGGUUCAAUAGUGAAAGACGGUUUUGCUGUCACUUAUAGAUGGAUCCGCGCCGCAUUAGCUAGUUGGUAAGGUAACGGCUUACCAAGGCAACGAUGCGUAGCCGACCUGAGAGGGUGAUCGGCCACACUGGAACUGAGACACGGUCCAGACUCCUACGGGAGGCAGCAGUAGGGAAUCUUCCGCAAUGGGCGAAAGCCUGACGGAGCAACGCCGCGUGAGUGAUGAAGGUCUUCGGAUCGUAAAACUCUGUUAUUAGGGAAGAACAAAUGUGUAAGUAACUAUGCACGUCUUGACGGUACCUAAUCAGAAAGCCACGGCUAACUACGUG
Molecule: ribosomal RNA, 496 nt
Filed under: uncultured bacterium
Lineage: Bacteria
Description: partial 16S ribosomal RNA
Rfam family: Bacterial small subunit ribosomal RNA
Source: RNAcentral